This 535-nucleotide ribosomal RNA is filed under the name Miichthys miiuy (Mi-iuy croaker). RNAcentral's name for it is "partial 16S ribosomal RNA". It matches the Rfam family "Bacterial large subunit ribosomal RNA", at positions 602 to 1345 of the family's 2925-position model. The record is from RNAcentral. Lineage: Eukaryota; Metazoa; Chordata; Actinopteri; Sciaenidae.
UACCUUUUGCAUCAUGAUUUAGCCAGAAAAUCUCAAGCAAAGAGCACUUUAGUUUGAUUCCCCGAAACUACGUGAGCUACUCCAAGACAGCCUAACAUAGGGCAAACCCGUCUCUGUGGCAAAAGAGUGGGAAGAGCUUUGAGUAGAGGUGACAGACCUACCGAACCUAGUUAUAGCUGGUUGCCUGAGAAAUGAAUAGAAGUUCAGCCUAUCGGAUUCUUCCCUCACCUUAAUAAUUUUUACAACAACCAAAAGAAACCGAAAGAGUUAGUCAAAGGGGGUACAGCCCCUUUGACACAAGACACAACUUUUCCAGGAGGGUAAAGAUCAUACUCAAACACCAAGGUAAGAUGUUUUGGUGGGCCUAAAAGCAGCCACCCCUACAGAAUGCGUUAAAGCUCAAACAUACCUACCACCCAUAAUCCUGACAACCCUAUCUUAACCCCCUAACCCUACCAGGCCAUCCCAUGCAAACAUGGGAGUGACCAUGCUAAUAUGAGUAAUAAGAGAGCAUUAGCCUCUCUCCCUGCACAAG